UCUGGGAUUAGAUACCCCACUAUAGUCUUAAAAAAACACAGGGCACUACGGUCAUUAAGAUUAAAACCCAAAGAAUUUGGCGGCGCUCCAACCCUAACCAGAGGAGUUUGUACCAUAAACGAUAAUCCGCGAGAUAAACCUACCACUUUUAGCAAAUCAGUUUGUAUACCAUCGUCGUCAGCUAACCUCAAAAAAGAGUUAACAUAAAAGUUUUUCCAACCUAACUUCAGAUCAAGGUGCAACUAAUAAAGUGGAAAGUAUGAACUACAAAGGUUUUAACAACAGCAGAUAAAAGUUGAAAAACUUUUAAUAAGGAGAAUUUGGAAGUAAUUUUCUAAAGUAUAAGGAAAUGAAAACCAGAAACUGGUGCGUGCACACACCGCCCGUCACCCUCCUCAA
Molecule: ribosomal RNA, 399 nt
Filed under: Chiridota sp. 3 AKM-2016
Lineage: Eukaryota; Metazoa; Echinodermata; Holothuroidea; Apodida; Chiridotidae
Description: partial 12S ribosomal RNA
Source: RNAcentral